UACGGGGGGAGCAAGCGUUGUUCGGAUUUACUGGGCGUAAAGGGCGCGUAGGCGGUCGUGACAAGUCACUUGUGAAAUCUCCGGGCUUAACUCGGAACGGUCAAGUGAUACUGUCGGACUAGAGUACAGAAGGGGAACUGGAAUUCUCGGUGUAGCGGUGAAAUGCGUAGAUAUCGAGAGGAACACCUGCGGCGAAGGCGGGUUGCUGGGCUGAUACUGACGCUGAGGCGCGAAAGCCAGGGGAGCGAACGGG
RNAcentral lists this ribosomal RNA (253 nucleotides) under uncultured bacterium. RNAcentral's name for it is "partial 16S ribosomal RNA". It matches the Rfam family "Bacterial small subunit ribosomal RNA", at positions 524 to 776 of the family's 1533-position model. The record is from RNAcentral.